This 56-nucleotide transfer RNA is filed under the name Trimorphodon biscutatus. RNAcentral describes it as "tRNA-Ser". The record is from RNAcentral. Lineage: Eukaryota; Metazoa; Chordata; Lepidosauria; Squamata; Colubridae.
GGGAGUUAUAAGACCUGCUAACUCUUCUUCCUGGAAUAACUACCAGCUCCCUCUAC